This 443-nucleotide ribosomal RNA is filed under the name uncultured bacterium. RNAcentral describes it as "bacterial SSU rRNA". It matches the Rfam family "Bacterial small subunit ribosomal RNA", at positions 29 to 507 of the family's 1533-position model. The record is from RNAcentral.
AACGAACGCUGGCGGCAGGCUUAACACAUGCAAGUCGAACGCCCCGCAAGGGGAGGUGGCAGACGGGUGGAGUAACAACGUGGGAACGGUAACCCUUCCGGUUUCGGGAAUAAACUCAGGGAAACGUUAGAGCUAAUAACCGGAUACGUCCGAGAGGAGAAAGAUUUAUCGCCGAUGGAUCGGCCCGCGUCUGAUUAGCUAGUUGGUGAGGUAACGGCUCACCAAGGCGACGAUCAGUAGCUGGUCUGAGAGGAUGAUCAGCCACACUGGGACUGAGACACGGCCCAGACUCCUACGGGAGGCAGCAGUGGGGAAUAUUGGACAAUGGGCGAAAGCCUGAUCCAGCCAUGCCGCGUGAGUGAUGAAGGCCCUAGGGUUGUAAAGCUCUUUUACCUGGGAAGAUAAUGACUGUACCAGGAGAAUAAGCCCCGGCUAACUUCGUG